CAUUGAGUUAGAAUGAAUCAAUCUUCAGUAGUGGAAAAACCUUCACAGGGACCGUACACAAGUCCACCGCCGAUUGGUUAUCCGACCAGAGAUGCUGUGGUUGGUGAUCCUCGGGUAUCGUCAGUGGAGACGAAGUCCAAGGGUGAUGAUGGGCUUUUUGCAAGAUGUUGGUUUCUCAUAUGCUGUUGUUGUGUCCUGGACAAUUGCUGUCGUUGACUUCGGAGUUAAAGAUUUCAUGCAGAUUAUUGCUAUAAUAAAAUAUAUAUUUGAUGAUUGUUGUGUUACUUUUUAAUUACUCUUUAUAUUUGGAAUAUGUUCUGCCGAUGGUUGUUUUAGUUAUGUUUUGCAAUAUAAAAUUAAAGAUCAUGAUAUAUAUUAAAGUGAUCGAAUUAAUAUAUAUAAUUAUAUAAAUCUAUUUUGGAUACAUUCAGAUACUUGAAAUACGUUGGUUCAGAUCAGAUUAGGUUUCAGUUCUCUAAAUACCAAAACUUUGAAUAAUUCAGAUAUUUAAUUAAUUUUGAUUCGAGUUUAGUACUUUUUUUUUUAUCGGAAUCAGUUUGGUUCUUCGGAUUCAAGUUUUUUGCCCAAUCCUAAAUAAUGAUAUAAAAACAAAUAGCAACAUAUUUUUGAAAAAUAUACCGGCGCGGAUACGCGGAUCAAAAUCUAGCGUAUCCUUAUAUCAAAAGAUCAAAAAGAAUCAUAUAUGAGUUAAUGUAUGAUUUUUCCAAUAGUUUCAUACUAUAGUUUCUAAACAGAUAAUAGUUUAACAAAAAGAAAAGAAAAUUAUAAAACAAAGAAUCAAACAUGCUAGAGUAUUGUAGUGAUGAUGUUCCAAACUUUGUGUAAGAAUGAGAAUGACGAAAAUUGUUAAAAUGCAUACAAGUUAAUACAUGUGGAAAAUGUGAAUUUUUAUACUCCUAAUGAAAAACUAAAAACUGUUCGAAAAAAUAUUGACAUAAGUCAUAGACUCAUAGUAUACCACAGUAAAGUAAGCUUAAUUAAUACUAGGUAAUAAUUUGUGUCUUACACGGGAUGUGAUUAUUAGAUUCAUUAUUUUUAAUUAAAAAACAUUAAUUUUUUUAAUUUGGAUAUUGGUUCGGUUUUGAGUUUUUUUUUGGUUUUUAAUCUUCUAAAAUAUGACCAUUAUUUUAAAUUAAUAUUCAUUUUAGUUUAUUCGGUUAAAAUAUUUAGUUUUUUGGGUUUUUUUCCGGUAAAAACCAAAAAUUAAUAAUAUUGGUUUAUUUUCAUGUCGAACCAAUAGUUUAUACUAUAGUUUCUAAACAGAUAAUAGUUUAAGAAGAAAAAAAAUAAAAUUAUAAAACAAAUCAUUUCACUACAAUUUGGUUGGUAGUGAAAGAAGCAUUAAGAAAAAAAAUUUCAACUUUCAAAAAAAUUAGAUACUUCAGUUGUGGUGAAUACUUAUUUACAAGGUGCUCACAUUAAGGUGUACAUGUAUGUGUAUGUAAAAAAUAUAUAAAAAUAGUUGACAAAUAUAAAAAAAUAUUGUUAAUUAAUAUUAAAUGACAUUUUUGUUCCAAAUAAUAGAUGAAAGAUAAAAUUAAAAUUAAUUUAAAAUAAAAAAAGUCCUUGACAUUAGUCAUUUUUUACAUAUAAA
Molecule: long non-coding RNA, 1615 nt
Organism: Brassica rapa (field mustard)
Lineage: Eukaryota; Viridiplantae; Streptophyta; Magnoliopsida; Brassicales; Brassicaceae
Source: RefSeq, a predicted model, not a curated record